RNAcentral lists this ribosomal RNA (370 nucleotides) under uncultured bacterium. Its description in RNAcentral is "bacterial SSU rRNA". It matches the Rfam family "Bacterial small subunit ribosomal RNA", at positions 28 to 385 of the family's 1533-position model. The record is from RNAcentral.
GAUGAACGCUAGCUACAGGCUUUAACACAUGCAAGUCGAGGGGCAGCAUUUUUUAUUAGCAAUAUAAAAGAUGGCGACCGGCGCACGGGUGAGUAAACACGUAUCCAACCUGCCGAUAACUCGGGGGAUAAACCCUUCGAAAGAAAGGACCUAAUACCCGAUGGCAUAUCCCCUCCGCCUGGUGGGGAUAUUAAAAGAACUUCGGUUAUCGAUGGGGAUGCGUUCCAUUAGCUUGUUGGCGGGUAACGGCCACCGAGGCAUCGAUGGAUAGGGGCUCUGAGAGGAAGGUCCCCCACAUUGGAACUGAGACACGGUCCAAACUCCUACGGGAGGCAGCAGUGAGGAAUAUUGGUCAAUGGACGAGAGUCUG